CAGAGCGUGGUCCUGGAAUCCUGGGAUCAAGUCCCACAUUGGGAUUCCUGCAUGGAGCCUGCUUCUCUCUCUGCCUGUCUCUGCCUCUCUCUGUGCGUCUCUCACUAAUAAAUAAAUAAAAUCUUAAAAACAAAAAAACAAAAAUCAUGUAUGUGCCCAAUAUGGCCAUCAAUUUUUUUUUCUUAAUUUCUAUUACUUUUGUCCUAUUUUAAUAUUGUUCUUGAUGGUGAUAACAUUAGCUAUAUUAUAUAUUAAUCACUAUAUUCAUUUUAAAAUGGCUAUACUUUAAUACACUAAUCAGUAUCUUGUGUAUAAUAUUGCCCAAAUAUUAAUAUUAAUAUUAAUAUCAAUACAAGUUAGAAAAGUCUUUAAAAGCAAAAUGGAAAGCCACAAUUGGAAAAUAAGUGAUUUAUCUGAAUAAUUAUGGAAUAUAAGCCUAUCAACUCCACAUACAAGGUUUCCCUUAUUGGCAUUUACCAUCUAAAAUAAAUGACAGUACAUAUUUUUUCCUGUAAUUUAUAUCACUUAGUGCAUUAUCUGAAUAUCAAUUUAACAUGAUUCUUUUUUUUUUAAUUUUUAUUUAUUUAUGAUAGUCACAGAGAGAGAGAGAGAAAGAGAGAGGCAGAGGGAGAAGCAGGCUCCAUGCACCGGGAGCCCGACGUGGGAUUCGAUCCAGGGUCUCCAGGAUCGCGCCCUGGGCCAAAGGCAGGCGCCAAACUGCUGCGCCACCCAGGGAUCCCUCUGAAUAUCAAUUUAAUUAAAAUCAUUGAAGGGUGCCUGGCUGGCUCAGUUGGUAGAACAUUGAAUAUUUGAUCUUGGGGUUUCAAGUUCAAACCCCAUGUUGAGCAUAGAGAUUACUUUAAAAGAAUUAGAAUUUUAAAAUAAAGAAAUCCUUUAAAAAUAUGUUAACAGGGUAUUUAUAAUUUCACAUUGGUGUCUUCAACUUUUCUUGCAUAACUUUCUAACUAAUUUUCUAACUUUAAUAUAAUUUUGCUUGUUUAUCUUCUGUUUUGCAUCUGUUGGCAACAGUAGUAUUAAAAUACACUGUAUUUGACACUGUCACACAGAAAUUCACUUGUCUUUAAUGUUUAGCCAAUAUCUCACUGGAAAUUUCUAAUGCAAUUUAUUAUCAGAUGCUCUCCUAAAUAUGAUCAUCUCUUCCUAGCCAUUUUCCAAACUUCCAGGUUCUUCAGAUUUCCAAACUAUCAAACAGAUAACAUAUAUAUUUUUUUUUUUUCCUGAGCCAUGGUAUGGGAGUAUUUAGUGUUCCUACACUGGAUAAAACAGACGAGCAUGCAAGCCUUGGCUUCUAUGUUAUUGAUGCUUCAUCAAAUACAUAAAAUAUAUAAACCUCUGAUUUCUGGUCUACAAGAUACACUGAUUACCCCUGCUUCAUAAGAGCUUAUAACAAAUUAAAUAAUAUGAUACAUAAGGUAGUUGAUAAACUAUUUGACACAAGAAUUAAUUUCUUGGUAGUUAUAGUUGUCAGAACAUUAUUUUUAAAUAUUUUAUUUAUUUAUUUGAGAGACUGAGAGAGAGUAUAAGCAGAGGAAGGGAUAGAGGGAGAGGGAGAAGCAGGCUCCAACAGGGAGCACGGCACAGCGGCUCGGUCCUAGGACCCUGGGAUCAUGACCUGAGCCUAAGACAGACACAACUGACUGAGACACCAGGCACCCCUGUUCUCAGAAUAUUUCUAUAGGACUGCAGUUUCUUUGGCUCUCAAGUAUUAAUCUAAAAUCAAAUUCUAAGGGCUUCCAACAUUUAAAUCAAACCUAUAUAUUUACAUUUUAAAUAAUAAUAAUUUUGUUCAAGCACCUGUAUGCUAGAAAAAUUAAACCAUGUGUCAUUUUUAGAAUAGAACUCAAGCACUGGUGCUUUGGUGCAUCCAUCAUUUAAAAUGAUUAAAAUCUUAGCUUAUCUUCAUAAAAUUAAAAAUAAAAUGUUUGGCUUUAAGCUUCAGUGACAAUGUCAAUCAAAUUAAUCAUUUCAUCUCUGUUCUACAAUCUUUGUUCUGUAUCUCUUAUAUUUAGAAAAUCUGUAUUAUGUAACAUGCCGUUGGAGAGAGAUUUUUUUUUCUUUCACAUGUAUGUUUAUAUUAUUGCAUCAGAUCUUCUGGAUUUAGGAGAGAUAGUUACAGAGAAAGGAGCUACAAAAUGUCAACCUACUCAGGUCAGUUGAAUUAAUUGUUCAAUGUGGCAACAUAGACCUAAAUCCAUCAUAUUUGACAUCAAACCAUUUAAUAUACUUGUCACCUAAUAUAUUAUGUUUCAUUAGAAGUGCCACUACUUGAAUGUCUUAUCUCUGAUAAGCUGUUUAAGAGCAGACAUUUUCUUAUUUUACACAUUUUAUAUUUGUCUCCCAGACAAGAGUCUUUAAAAAUAUUUGUUCAUUAAAGAGUAAAUAAGAAAAAUCAAUUUCUUGAUGGUUCAAAUUAGGACCGCCUAGGUGGCUCAGUCAGUUAAGCAUCUGCCUUAGCUCAGGUCAUGGUCUCCAGGGGGCAGGUUUUGGGAUGGAGGUGCCCUUAAACUUUCUGCUUCUCCUUCUCCUGCUUCCUCUCCCCCAACUCAUGCACAAUCUCUCAAAUAAAUAAAUAAAAUCUUAUUUAUUUUUAUUUUUUUAAGAUUUUAUUUAUUCAUAAGAGGUACACACACACACAAACACACACACACAGAGACACAGGCAGAGGUAGAAGCAGGCUCCAUGCUGGGAGCCUGAUGUGGGACUCGAUCUGGGAUCCCAGGAUCAGGCCGUGGGCUGAAGGCGGCUCGUUGAGCCACCGAGGCUGCCCAUAAAAUAUUUUUUAAAUAAGUGGUUCAAAUUAAACAUAAAUAAGAGAAAAGUCUUAUUUAGCAUAACAAUAAAAAUGAUAAACUCUUUAUACAUUAAAUUUAACAUUAUUUUUUUUAUAAUAUACACAAGAAAACCUCCAGAGAUACACAAAAUAGACUUCAGUAAAAUUUAAAAAGUACCAGAUUUUUGGAUAGAAAGACUCAGUUAUCACAAAAAUGUCAAUUCCCCCCAAAAUGUAUGUAUUUAUAACCUGUUUUAUAUUCUCUCUGAAGAAAGAUUACCACACCGUACCCAUUGCCAGGAGACUUGCAAUGCCUCACUUAGGGAAAGGUUUAAUUCCACACCCAAAUGAGAGAAGCAUGAUUAUUUCAGUCACUUGCUUUAGCCAAAAAGAGUAAGGAAAAUUGGGUUGUUCUAUUUUGCAACAGAAACUUAAAGAGCCUUCUCUUGGUUUCACCAUACAAUUUUCCCUCUGUUUCACAAAUGACAUAGAAAUUCUAUUUCCCUAAAGUAGUUCUAGAAUAAGUAACACAUAGAACAUACCCAAAGCACACAUUGAUGUAUGGGUUUCAUUUGGGGACUGUUAUGGACUAAAUGUUUGUGAUCCCCAAGUUUUAUAUGUCCAAAUCUAAUUCCCAGUAUGAUAUUAUUUAAGGGGGAUAUUUGGGAGAUCAUUAUGUUAUGGGAGUAGAGCCCUCAUAAGUGAAAUUAAUGCCCAUAUAAGAAGAGGCCAGAUAUCUAGCCUCUCUGUGAGGCUAGAAAGAAUUUUCAAUUUGCAAGCAGAAAGUAGUCUCUCACCAGACACCAGACCUGCCGGCACUUUGUACUUAGACUUCCCAGCCGUCAGAAUUGUGAGAAAUAAACAUUUGUUGUUUAAGACAGUUUAUGGUAAUUUGCUCUAGCAGUCUAAUCUAAGACAGAAAGUGGUACUGAGAAGUGGGGUGCUGCUGCAACAAAUACCCCAAAAUCUUAGAACUGGAUAAUGGGUCCAGGCUAGGUGUGUUGAACUAUAUGCUAGAAAAAGCCAAUAUUGCCAUGAACAGAAUUUGAAUGGUGAUUUUGGCUAGGAUGGAGAAAGAUAAGCAGAGAGCUCUAGAAAAUUCCUUCAUCUUCCUAGAGAGGACAAAAUCAUGAACAGAAUGUUGAUAGCAAUAUGGAUGUUAAGGGAGAUUCUAUUAAGAAAAUGAGGAACAUGCUAUUAAAACUAGAAGAUGGGGCACCUGAAUGCCUCAGUCAGUUAAGCAUCUGACUCAUGAUUUCAGUUCAGGUCAUGAUCUGAACUGGUCAUGGGCUCCCCACUCAGCAGGGAGUCACCUUGAAAUUAUCUCUCUUUGCCAUUCCCCCACUUACAUGCAUAUGUUCACUCUCUCUCUCCCUCUCUCUCGCGCUCAAAUAAAUAAAGAAAUCUCUAAAAAAAAAUCUAGAAGGAACACAAUGCUUGUUAGAAAGUGGCAAAUAACUUGAAUGAAUUUUGUCUAUGUUCUGGUGCUUUGUAAAAGGUAGAACUCGUGAGCAAUUAAACUAGAUAUUCAACUGAAAAAAAAAAUUCUAAGCAAAGUAUUGAUGGAACAGCUCAUUUCCUCCUGUCUGCUUACAGUAAAAUGUGAGAAAAGAUAAACUGAAGCAGACUUAUUAAGCAAAAAGGAACUAACACUUAAAUUUGGAGUCUCAGCCUAUCUAUAUGGCAAAAAAUGAGAAAGCAUGUUCAGAAGCAAACAUUAGGAGUCUGGCCCAACAACAAUUUGAUACGGAGAUUAGUGUGGGUGUGAACCAGGAACAUAAUCACAACCCCAGCAAGAAA
This 4591-nucleotide long non-coding RNA is filed under the name Canis lupus familiaris (dog). Its description in RNAcentral is "lncRNA (ENSCAFG00845005565.1)". The record is from RNAcentral. Lineage: Eukaryota; Metazoa; Chordata; Mammalia; Carnivora; Canidae.